This 475-nucleotide ribosomal RNA is filed under the name uncultured bacterium. Its description in RNAcentral is "bacterial SSU rRNA". It matches the Rfam family "Bacterial small subunit ribosomal RNA", at positions 65 to 518 of the family's 1533-position model. The record is from RNAcentral.
AACGGAAGUACGGUUACAAUCGGAAGUAAAGAUUUAUCGGACUGAAGAAUGUAACAAUAGGCUUUAGUGGCGGACUGGUGAGUAACACAUGAGCAACCUACCUAUUAGAGGGGAAUAACAAUGAGAAAUCAUUGCUAAUACCGCAUAUGCCGUGAAUAUCGCAUGGAUAAAAACGGGAAAGGAGAAAUCCGCUAAUAGAUGGGCUUGUGUCUGAUUAGCUAGUUGGUGGGGUAACGGCUUACCAAGGCAACGAUCAGUAGCCGAACUGAGAGGUUGAACGGCCACAUUGGGACUGAGAUACGGCCCAGACUCCUACGGGAGGCAGCAGUCGGGAAUAUUGCGCAAUGGAGGAAACUCUGACGCAGUGACGCCGCGUAUAGGAAGAAGGUUUUCGGAUUGUAAACUAUUGUCAUUAGGGAAGAAAAAGGACAGUACCUAAGGAGGAAGCUCCGGCUAACUAUGUGCCAGCAGCGGC